ACAUGCAAGUCGAACGGACUUAAUCGAUUCUUUUAGAUUCGAAGCGGUUAGUGGCGGACUGGUGAGUAACACGUAAGCAACCUGCCUGUUAGAGGGGAAUAACAGUGAGAAAUCACUGCUAAAACCGCAUAUGCCGUGAACAUCGCAUGAUGAAAACGGGAAAAGAGCAAUCUGCUAAUAGAUGGGCUUGCGUCUGAUUAGCUAGUUGGUGUGGUAAAGGCAUACCAAGGCAACGAUCAGUAGCCGGACUGAGAGGUUGAACGGCCACAUUGGGACUGAGAUACGGCCCAGACUCCUACGGGAGGCAGCAGUCGGGAAUAUUGCGCAAUGGAGGAAACUCUGACGCAGUGACGCCGCGUAUGGGAAGAAGGUUUUCGGAUUGUAAACCAUUUUAGACAAGGAAGAAACAAGACAGUACUUGUAGAAUAAGCUCCGGCUAACUACGUGCCAGCAGCCGCGGUAAUACGUAGGGAGCAAGCGUUAUCCGGAUUUAUUGGGUGUAAAGGGUGCGUAGACGGGAAGGUAAGUUAGUUGUGAAAUCCCUCGGCUCAACUGAGGAACUGCGACUAAAACUGCUUUUCUUGAGUGCUGGAGAGGAAAGUGGAAUUCCUAGUGUAGCGGUGAAAUGCGUAGAUAUUAGGAGGAACACCAGUGGCGAAGGCGACUUUCUGGACAGUAACUGACGUUGAGGCACGAAAGUGUGGGG
Molecule: ribosomal RNA, 706 nt
Filed under: uncultured bacterium
Lineage: Bacteria
Description: bacterial SSU rRNA
Rfam family: Bacterial small subunit ribosomal RNA
Source: RNAcentral